Molecule: long non-coding RNA, 655 nt
Organism: Leopardus geoffroyi (Geoffroy's cat)
Lineage: Eukaryota; Metazoa; Chordata; Mammalia; Carnivora; Felidae
Exons: 2
Source: RefSeq, a predicted model, not a curated record
GGGGCCACCCUCCCUCCAGGAGUGCAGGUCAAAAGCCUGGGAGUGAUUCCUGGCACCUCUUUUUCAGCACCCCCCAUCCCCAGGCCACGGCCAAGGCUUGUGAUUUACCUCUGGAAAAGCGGUGGCAUCCAUCGUGCCUUCGCCUCCCUGACACCUGCACCCUCAUUCCAGCCACCACCUCUGUCUGGACCGAGGUGCCCCAUUGGCCUCUUGAAUCUGUCACCGUCCCCUCCAGCCAUUUCUCUACUCAGUGGCCACGCCCCCAUAGCAAAGCACCAGUUGAUUUGGUCUCUUUCCCCCCCCCACCCUGCUCCUGGGGCAGAGACCGAAACCCUUAAGCCCGCCUAGGGCCGCUAGUCAGUCAUCACGUCCGCAUCCAGCCUUUGGGACUCUCCCAGGCUUCCAGUCCAUUCCUCAGAGUGUCAACGGAGGGUUGCCCCGCAGGGAAGUGACACCACCUGUGCCCAGCGUCCUUCAUUCGUCUGCCUCCGCUGAGAGCAAAUGUAUCCAUUUGCAGGGAUACAUUUUGUUGUGUGAGGUUAUUUUGUUGCUGUCUGUCAUCCCAUUUACAGUGUGUGCUCCUGGAGGGAUAGGCCGUGUCUCUUUGUGCUUCCUAUUGUACCCUCAGUGCUGAUUAAACCGAUAGGAGAACGGA